UGGGGAAUCUUCCGCAAUGGACGAAAGUCUGACGGAGCAACGCCGCGUGAGUGAAGACGGCCUUCGGGUUGUAAAGCUCUGUGAUUCGGGACGAAAGGCCAUAUGUGAAUAAUAUAUGGAAAUGACGGUACCGAAAAAGCAAGCCACGGCUAACUACGUGCCAGCAGCCGCGGUAAUACGUAGGUGGCAAGCGUUGUCCGGAAUUAUUGGGCGUAAAGCGCGCGCAGGCGGUCACUUAAGUCCAUCUUAGAAGUGCGGGGCUUAACCCCGUGAUGGGAUGGAAACUGGGAGACUGGAGUAUCGGAGAGGAAAGUGGAAUUCCUAGUGUAGCGGUGAAAUGCGUAGAUAUUAGGAAGAACACCGGUGGCGAAGGCGACUUUCUGGACGAAAACUGACGCUGAGGCGCGAAAGCGUGGGAGCAAACAGG
Molecule: ribosomal RNA, 427 nt
Filed under: Verrucomicrobiota bacterium
Lineage: Bacteria; Pseudomonadati; Verrucomicrobiota
Description: Verrucomicrobia bacterium partial 16S ribosomal RNA
Rfam family: Bacterial small subunit ribosomal RNA
Source: RNAcentral